RNAcentral lists this ribosomal RNA (253 nucleotides) under uncultured bacterium. RNAcentral describes it as "partial 16S ribosomal RNA". It matches the Rfam family "Bacterial small subunit ribosomal RNA", at positions 524 to 776 of the family's 1533-position model. The record is from RNAcentral.
UACGAAGGGGGCUAGCGUUGUCCGGAAUUACUGGGUGUAAAGGGCGUGUAGACGGGGAUGCAAGUCAGAUGUGAAAUUCCAGGGCUCAACCCUGGCGCUGCAUCUGAAACUGUGUCUCUUGAGUGCUGGAGAGGAAAGCGGAAUUCCUAGUGUAGCGGUGAAAUGCGUAGAUAUUAGGAGGAACACCAGUGGCGAAGGCGGCUUUCUGGACAGUAACUGACGUUGAGGCGCGAAAGCGUGGGGAGCAAAUAGG